Molecule: ribosomal RNA, 253 nt
Filed under: uncultured bacterium
Lineage: Bacteria
Description: partial 16S ribosomal RNA
Rfam family: Bacterial small subunit ribosomal RNA
Source: RNAcentral
UACGUAGGGGGCUAGCGUUGUCCGGAAUCAUUGGGCGUAAAGCGCGUGUAGGCGGUCCGGUAAGUCCGCUGUGAAAGUCGGGGGCUCAACCCUCGGAUGCCGGUGGAUACUGUCGGGCUUGAGUACGGAAGAGGCGAGUGGAAUUCCUGGUGUAGCGGUGAAAUGCGUAGAUAUCUGGAGGAACACCGGUGGCGAAGGCGGCAUCCUGGACCAACACUGACGCUGAGGAGCGAAAGCCAGGGGAGCAAACGGG